RNAcentral lists this ribosomal RNA (440 nucleotides) under uncultured bacterium. Its description in RNAcentral is "partial 16S ribosomal RNA". It matches the Rfam family "Bacterial small subunit ribosomal RNA", at positions 338 to 795 of the family's 1533-position model. The record is from RNAcentral.
CCUACGGGAGGCAGCAGUGGGGAAUAUUGCACAAUGGGGGAAACCCUGAUGCAGCGACGCCGCGUGAGUGAAGAAGUAAUUCGUUAUGUAAAGCUCUAUCAGCAGGGAAGAAAAUGACGGUACCUGAGUAAGACGCCCCGGCUAACUACGUGCCAGCAGCCGCGGUAAUACGUAGGGGGCAAGCGUUAUCCGGAUUUACUGGGUGUAAAGGGAGCGUAGACGGCAGUGCAAGUCUGGAGUGAAAGGCGGGGGCUCAACCCCGGAACGGCUUUGGAAACUGAGCAGCUAGAGUGCUGGAGAGGUAAGCGGAAUUCCUAGUGUAGCGGUGAAAUGCGUAGAUAUUAGGAGGAACACCAGUGGCGAAGGCGGCUUACUGGACAGUAACUGACGUUGAGGCUCGAAAGCGUGGGGAGCAAACAGGAUUAGAUACCCUUGUAGUC